Oncorhynchus tshawytscha (Chinook salmon) is the source of this 405-nucleotide long non-coding RNA. The record is from Ensembl. NCBI's taxonomy places the organism in Eukaryota, Metazoa, Chordata, Actinopteri, Salmoniformes, Salmonidae.
UGGGGUAGCAGGUAGGGCGGUGGCCUAGUGGUUAGAGUGUAGGGACGGCAGGUAGCCUAGUGGUUAGAGUGUAGGGACGGCAGGUAGCCUAGUGGUUAGAGUGUAGGGACGGCGGGUAGCCUAGUGGUUAGAGUGUAGGGACGGCAGGUAGCCUAGUGGUUAGAGUGUAGGGGCGGCAGGUAGCCUAGUGGUUAGAGUGUAGGGACGGCAGGUAGCCUAGUGGUUAGAGUGUAGGGACGGCAGGUAGACUAGUGGUUAGAGUGUAGGGACAGCAGGUGGCAUAGUUGUUAGAGUGUAGGGACGGCAGGUAGCCUAGUGGUUAGAGUGUAGGGACGGCAGGUAGCCUAGUGGUUAGAGUGUAGGGACGGCAGGUAGCCUAGUGGUUAGAGUGUAGGGACGGCAGGU